This 467-nucleotide ribosomal RNA is filed under the name uncultured bacterium. RNAcentral's name for it is "partial 16S ribosomal RNA". It matches the Rfam family "Bacterial small subunit ribosomal RNA", at positions 29 to 507 of the family's 1533-position model. The record is from RNAcentral.
ACGAACGCUGGCGGCGUGCUUAACACCUGCAAGUCGAACGGAAAGGCCCUGCUUUUGUGGGGUGCUCGAGUGGCGAACGGGUGAGUAACACGUGAGUAACCUGCCCUUGACUUUGGGAUAACUUCAGGAAACUGGGGCUAAUACCGGAUAGGAGCUCCUGCUGCAUGGUGGGGGUUGGAAAGUUUCGGUGGUUGGGGAUGGACUCGCGGCUUAUCAGCUUGUUGGUGGGGUAGUGGCUUACCAAGGCUUUGACGGGUAGCCGGCCUGAGAGGGUGACCGGCCACAUUGGGACUGAGAUACGGCCCAGACUCCUACGGGAGGCAGCAGUGGGGAAUAUUGCACAAUGGGCGGAAGCCUGAUGCAGCAACGCCGCGUGCGGGAUGACGGCCUUCGGGUUGUAAACCGCUUUCGCCUGUGACGAAGCGUGAGUGACGGUAAUGGGUAAAGAAGCACCGGCUAACUACGUG